RNAcentral lists this ribosomal RNA (253 nucleotides) under uncultured bacterium. RNAcentral's name for it is "partial 16S ribosomal RNA". It matches the Rfam family "Bacterial small subunit ribosomal RNA", at positions 524 to 776 of the family's 1533-position model. The record is from RNAcentral.
UGCAGAGGUCUCAAGCGUUGUUCGGAUUCAUUGGGCGUAAAGGGUGCGUCGGCGGCGCGUUAAGUCGGGUGUGAAAUCUCGGAGCUUAACUCCGAAACUGCAUUCGAUACUGCCGUGCUUGAGGACUGGAGAGGAGACUGGAAUUUACGGUGUAGCGGUGAAAUGCGUAGAUAUCGUAAGGAAGACCAGUGGCGAAGGCGGGUCUCUGGACAGUUCCUGACGCUGAGGCACGAAGGUCAGGGGAGCAAACGGG